UACGUAGGUGGCGAGCGUUGUCCGGAUUUACUGGGCGUAAAGAGCGCGCAGGCGGUCGUUCAAGUCGGAUGUGAAAGCCCCCGGCUCAACUGGGGAGGGUCAUUCGAUACUGAUCGACUCGAAGGCAGGAGAGGGAAGUGGAAUUCCCGGUGUAGUGGUGAAAUGCGUAGAUAUCGGGAGGAACACCAGUGGCGAAGGCGACUUCCUGGCCUGUUCUUGACGCUGAGGCGCGAAAGCUAGGGGAGCAAACGGG
This 253-nucleotide ribosomal RNA is filed under the name uncultured bacterium. RNAcentral describes it as "partial 16S ribosomal RNA". It matches the Rfam family "Bacterial small subunit ribosomal RNA", at positions 524 to 776 of the family's 1533-position model. The record is from RNAcentral.